Molecule: ribosomal RNA, 464 nt
Filed under: uncultured bacterium
Lineage: Bacteria
Description: partial 16S ribosomal RNA
Rfam family: Bacterial small subunit ribosomal RNA
Source: RNAcentral
CUACGGGUUGCAGCAGUGAGGAAUUUUGCGCAAUGGGCGAAACCCUGACGCAGCAACGCCGCGUGAGCGAAGAAGGCCCUCGGGUCGUAAAGCUCUGUCAAGUGGGAAAAAAAUUUUUUGAUCAAUAGUCAAAAGACUUGAUGGUACCACUGGAGGAAGCACCGGCUAACUCCGUGCCAGCAGCCGCGGUAAUACGGAGGGUGCGAGCGGUGUUCGGAUUUACUGGGCGUAAAGAGCGUGUAGGCGGUUUAGCAAGUCAGAUGUGAAAGCCCUGGGCUCAACCCGGGAAGUGCAUUUGAAACUGCUUCACUAGAGUAUGGGAGAGGAGAUUGGAAUUCCUGGUGUAGAGGUGAAAUUCGUAGAUAUCAGGAGGAACACCCGUGGCGAAGGCGAUUCUCUGGACCAAUACUGACGCUGAGACGCGAAAGCGUGGGGAGCAAACAGGAUUAGAUACCCCGGUAGUC